This 497-nucleotide ribosomal RNA is filed under the name uncultured bacterium. Its description in RNAcentral is "partial 16S ribosomal RNA". It matches the Rfam family "Bacterial small subunit ribosomal RNA", at positions 28 to 507 of the family's 1533-position model. The record is from RNAcentral.
GAUGAACGCUGGCGGCGUGCCUAAUACAUGCAAGUCGAGCGAACAGACGAGGAGCUUGCUCCUCUGACGUUAGCGGCGGACGGGUGAGUAACACGUGGAUAACCUACCUAUAAGACUGGGAUAACUUCGGGAAACCGGAGCUAAUACCGGAUAAUAUAUUGAACCGCAUGGUUCAAUAGUGAAAGACGGUUUUGCUGUCACUUAUAGAUGGAUCCGCGCCGCAUUAGCUAGUUGGUAAGGUAACGGCUUACCAAGGCAACGAUGCGUAGCCGACCUGAGAGGGUGAUAGGACACACUGGAACUGAGACACGGUCCAGACUCCUACGGGAGGCAGCAGUAGGGAAUCUUCCGAAAUGGGCGAAAGCCUGACGGAGCAACGCCGCGUGAGUGAUGAAGGUCUUCGGAUCGUAAAACUCUGUUAUUAGGGAAGAACAAAUGUGUAAGUAACUAUGCACGUCUUGACGGUACCUAAUCAGAAAGCCACGGCUAACUACGUG